This 497-nucleotide ribosomal RNA is filed under the name uncultured bacterium. Its description in RNAcentral is "partial 16S ribosomal RNA". It matches the Rfam family "Bacterial small subunit ribosomal RNA", at positions 28 to 507 of the family's 1533-position model. The record is from RNAcentral.
GAUGAACGCUGGCGGCGUGCCUAAUACAUGCAAGUCGAGCGACCGGACGAGAAGCUUGCUUCUCUGAUGUUAGCGGCGGACGGGUGAGUAACACGUGGAUCACCUACCUAUAAGACUGGGAUAACUUCGGGAAACCGGUGCUAAUACCGGCUAAUAUUUUGAACCGCAUGGUUCAAAAGUGAAAGACGGUUUUGCUGUCACAUAUAGAUGGAUCCGCGCUGCAUUAGCUAGUUGGUAAGGUAACGGCUUACCAAGGCAACGAUGCAUAGCCGACCUGAGAGGGUGAUCGGCCACACUGGAACUGAGACACGGUCCAGACUCCUACGGGAGGCAGCAGUAGGGAAUCUUCCGCAAUGGGCGAAAGCCUGACGGAGCAACGCCGCGUGAGUGAUGAAGGUCUUCGGAUCGUAAAACUCUGUUAUUGGGGAAGAAAAGAUGUGUAAGUAACUGUGCACAUCUUGACGGUACCUAAUCAGAAAGCCACGGCUAACUACGUG